RNAcentral lists this ribosomal RNA (210 nucleotides) under uncultured bacterium. Its description in RNAcentral is "partial 16S ribosomal RNA". It matches the Rfam family "Bacterial small subunit ribosomal RNA", at positions 125 to 334 of the family's 1533-position model. The record is from RNAcentral.
UCUAUCCUCCGCGGGGGACAACCACUGGAAACGGUGGCUAAUACCGCAUACGACCUGACUUUCUUCGGAUCGUUAGGAGAAAGGCUUCGGCCACCGGAGGCUGAGCCCGCGUCCCAUCAGCUUGUUGGUGAGGUAAAAGCUCACCAAGGCUAAGACGGGUAGCUGGCCUGAGAGGAUGAUCAGCCACACUGGGACUGAGACACGGCCCAG